GAUGAAGAACGCAGCGAAAUGCGAUAAGUAGUGUGAAUUGCAGAAUUCCGUGAAUCAUCGAAUCUUUGAACGCACAUUGCGCCUUCUGGUAUUCCGGAAGGCAUGCCUGUUCGAGAGUCAUUAACAACCGUUUCGAUCCCUUUCUUUCAGAAAUUACAAAGAGGAAAAGGGUUUGGUUAUGGUGGAGGAGGGAAAGGGAGCGUUUAGCCUGUAAAAAAAGAGGCUGUGUUCCGCCUCCCCCCCAAAAUUGUACAGGCGGUCGUGUGCGCCCACGCAUCGAGGUGUUGUAAAAGCUGCCACGGCACUUUUCACCUGUGCAGUGCGAGAUUGGCCAGCCGGUUUAAAAACCCCUCCAAACAAUCAAAGGUUGACCUCGGAUCAGGUAGGGAUACCCGCUGAACUUAAGCAUAUCUAUAAGCGGAGGA
RNAcentral lists this unclassified non-coding RNA (425 nucleotides) under soil metagenome. RNAcentral describes it as "partial contains 5.8S ribosomal RNA, internal transcribed spacer 2, and large subunit ribosomal RNA". The stretch from base 1 to 120 matches the Rfam family "5.8S ribosomal RNA", at positions 35 to 154 of the family's 154-position model. The record is from RNAcentral.